RNAcentral lists this ribosomal RNA (433 nucleotides) under uncultured bacterium. RNAcentral describes it as "partial 16S ribosomal RNA". It matches the Rfam family "Bacterial small subunit ribosomal RNA", at positions 29 to 507 of the family's 1533-position model. The record is from RNAcentral.
AACGAACGCUGGCGGCAUGCCUAACACAUGCAAGUCGAACGAGACCUUCGGGUCUAGUGGCGCACGGGUGCGUAACGCCUGGGAACCUGCAUUUAGUUUCGGCAUAACUCAGAGAAAUUUGAGCUAAUACCGGAUGAUCUCUUCGGUCCAAAGAUUUAUCGCCUUUAGAUGGGCCCGCGUUGGAUUAGCUAGUUGGUGGGGUAAAGGCCUACCAAGGCGACGUUACAUAGCUGGUCUGAGAGGAUGAUCAGCCACACUGGGACUGAUGCACGGCCCAGACUCCUACGGGAGGAAGCAGUGGGGAAUAUUAGACAAUGGGCGAAAGCCUGAUCCAGCAAGGCCGCGUGAAUGAUGAAGGCCUUAGGGUUGUAGAGCUCUUUUACCCGAGAUGAUAAUGACAGUAUCGGGAGAAUAAGCUCCGGCUAACUCCGUG